CUAUGGCUCUCGUUUACGUUGGAGAUGACCAACUCGCCUCUGGGCCCCCCGCCAGGACCCAUUGACACUGAGAGCACAGAGCCAUUGAACCGAAGGGUGUGGUUGGAUGGAAGGCUGUACCACCAUGUGAUAUUAGGGCCUGGCAUCCAGGGCCUGUGGGGAGAGGAGAAGAGACAAGUGGGUCAUAGACUGGGAACGGCCCUGAUUGCCCAAUCCUGAGCCCUUCACACCAGCAGUGGUCCUGAUGGCAAUGAUAGCCCCCAUUCUCAGCCUCCCCAGGACCACACUGGCUUGUGGCCACCGCCCUGGACAUUGCAGGAAGGAGGAAGGUCGGAAGUGAGAAAGAGAAGGUGUGGAAAGAAGCCCCCUACGGCAACUUUGUAGUCACGGGCUUAGGACUCAGGCAGCAGCGUCCAGUCUCUGUUCCCAGCGUCACUUGAGUGGCUGACCUUCCCCUCUGAAAGCCUCGGUCAGUGUGGUCACACUCGGGUGGGGGAGGGGAAUGGAGAGUCUGAUGAGGCAUGCCCUCCCUUCCCCUCCCCGACACCCUUUGUUACCUCCCCUCAGCCUGCCCUGACCUUCAUUCCACACUUACCUCAGUUCCUCAUUCUGACUUGUGGUUGUGUGUUGUGGGGCAUGGUGGUCUUGGGCCUAACAGUGGACUUCUCUGAGCCUCCUCCAACCCAACUUGAUACAUCUUGAUACAGAAAGUUCCCCCUGGUUCCCUGCUCCUGUUCCUUUUCUUUCUGGGACAGGGUCUCAGUAAGUUGCCCAGGCUAGCCAUGAUAGAACUCAGUAUGCAGCCCAGGCUGGCCUCAAACGCAAUAGCCUCCCCACCACCGCCUCAAUCUCCCGAGUGUUGGCAUUACUUUAAGGGGUGUGCCGCUAUGCACCACCCUGCCUGGCUUCCCUCUGCUUCUGGCUCCACUCUCCACCCCUCCUGUCAGCUGCACCACCCCCACCCUCACCCAGCACCUUCCCUUUUUCCAUAUUACCCAGGC
Peromyscus maniculatus bairdii (prairie deer mouse) is the source of this 1001-nucleotide non-coding RNA. Lineage: Eukaryota; Metazoa; Chordata; Mammalia; Rodentia; Cricetidae. The record is from RefSeq and is a predicted model, not a curated record.